UGUAGCUCAUUUGAUAGAGUGCUUGCCUGGUAUAUAUGAGGUCCUGGGUUCUAUUCCCAGCA
Molecule: transfer RNA, 62 nt
Filed under: Mesocricetus auratus (golden hamster)
Lineage: Eukaryota; Metazoa; Chordata; Mammalia; Rodentia; Cricetidae
Rfam family: tRNA
About the family: Transfer RNA (tRNA) molecules are approximately 80 nucleotides in length.
Source: Rfam by way of RNAcentral